CUGCUCACCUCAGCAGCACAUAUACUAAGACUAAAAUGAUAUGGAGGAGAUUAGCAUGGCCCCUGCACAAAGAUGACGGGCAAAUGCAUAAAGCAUUUCAUGGUGUU
This is a small nuclear RNA of Mesocricetus auratus (golden hamster), 107 nucleotides long. NCBI's taxonomy places the organism in Eukaryota, Metazoa, Chordata, Mammalia, Rodentia, Cricetidae. The record is from Ensembl.